Long non-coding RNA from Branchiostoma floridae (Florida lancelet), 1910 nucleotides. RefSeq lists it as uncharacterized. The transcript is spliced from 3 exons. The record is from RefSeq and is a predicted model, not a curated record. Lineage: Eukaryota; Metazoa; Chordata; Leptocardii; Amphioxiformes; Branchiostomatidae.
UCAGACGGAUGGGAAAGCGGUGUCUCCCGGCUUUUCGUCCUGUAAGCAUAAUAAUAUAAAUAAUAAAGACAGCUAAUGUUCUAUGAGGCAGAUAAUGUGUAUGAAACAUAUGGAAUUCCAGAUAAGGAUAGAGACAUAGUAACCUUAGCGGGAAUGAGGGAAAAUCAUAAAGAGCGGAUUAACUCAGCAUUGUACCAGACACUUUCUAGGUACAUCGAGCGGACAAACAGGUUCAGUCAAUCAUUCUCUUGCUGAUAUCAUGCACGAGUAAGCACCCUGGGAAUAAAACCACGUGAAACCAGAUCACAAGCACCUUGAACCGGAAGCAGAAUGAACCGGAAGUAUACAGCACCUUGAGUCUACGUCUAGCGCAACACAGUAGACGGAACCAGCCUCACGGAAAACAGGGAUAUCAAAUAAUUUGUCAGUUUGUACCGUAUCGAUAAGUCGCUAUUCCUGACAUGGGAAUGCUUACACGCUGAUAUUGUGUCUGCCAACCUGCGGUGCGGCCGAUUUUCUCUGGUAGCUUCAAAUUGACAGCGAUAAUCCCGGGGCUGCCAACAAACAACACAAGUGCCAGCGCAAGGUCACCAAAAAUUCCCCGCACCAAAGCUGCUUGGAAUGGCCAGACGUUGUGUGGCAAAGUGGUUCGACGAGGGCGGUGAAUUCUAAAGCACACCUUAGAGAUGGGAGUGGGAAGGCAUCACACCUUCGUCAGUUGACCCCCAUCAACCACUGCAGACAGCCUUGAUGACUUGGACUACAGUGAUGAAGACACUGCAAGAGUGUCUUGGUAUUUCCUUUCUCGUGUCAAGCCGCGCUGUUCAAUGGUGGCUGCCUCCAAUUCUUCAUCAUCAUCACUGUCUUCACUCUCUACUGGAGAUGGAUGGGAAGUGGCUGAUGCAGGAGUGAGGGAGCCACUAGCUGGGCAGCAAUAUGGACAGUCUCCAUAAUCCAGCACCGGCAUGUUCUCAGGGGUAUGGAUGCCAGACUGACUAAGAGUUGGCACAGUCAGUGGGACUUUGUGAUGUGCUCCCAUUCCCAUAUGCAUAUUGCAGUUGUUACGGCACUGCAGGAGAACUUCCGUGUUUGAUAUCUUAACUUCUGGACAUGCUAUAUGGCUAUCCUUUUCAAACAGUGUAUUUGGUAUAUCUUAUAAGUAAUUGGUGAAGUGUUGAUCCCCUAGUGGCUUCUUUUGGAACUACAGGGGCCAAUUUAGUGUUGAUAGCUUACAUUAUAUAUGUUAUAUCAGGAAAAUGUGACUUGCUCAAUAUUACUGUCCCAUUGAGGUAGCCAGAGAAAUAUGGAUUUCUUUUGUCAGGAAUAGCCUUCUUGACACAGUACAAACUGACAAUGUUGCAGCACAAAAAUUAACAUUCCUGUGCAAGUGGGUCAAGUCUGUAUGUAUAUUUUGUAUACUGAAACAUAGAGGGUUUGUCUUGUAAAUAUGUUUCUUGUACAUUGCAACAUACAGUAUUACAGGUGUAACAUCUUACUUGAGCUUUCCGUACAGUAUAUAGAUUUUGAUACAAAUACAGUUGAAAGCAACCAAUUCAUAUUGUACUGUUGAACAACCGUUAAACAUAUACUGUGUUACCGUCAAUCACAAUAUUUACAUAAAAUCUCAAGAAUAUGAAGCAACAGAGAAAACUGUACUGAAUGAUUGCAACCCCUACAUAUCAUAGUGUGGCAUAGCUUUAAAUAUACUACUGUGUUGUACCAAUAAACGAAGAACAUGAGAUGUAAAAGCCUCUGUAAAUACAACAUGUCUAUCUUAACUAGAACCACUGAUACACAUACACUUGUCAGUCUCCAACUGUUGUUGGGGAUAAGUGUAUGGAAACAACCUACAUUGAAAAAGUGCACUUGAUUGUAUUACGGCAAUAAAUAAUUGAAGUCAUUCUGUGAAA